GACUUUGAGUCUUACUCAACUUGGCAUUACUUUGUAUCGGUAAUUCUCCCUUCUUCGAGUUUUCCAUACUAAAACGUUUUAGUACUUUAUCUAAGUAAGUGUUCUGACUAAGUCCUAUUAGUCUCUUACUUCGUUCUCUCACUAUCCUUAUUCCCAAAAUAUAGGAAGCCUCUCCGAGGUCCUUCAUAGCGAAGCACUUCUCGAGCCAGGACUUAACUUCCUGCAGAUUCGGGACGUCGUUUCCUAUGAGUAGUAUGUCAUCGACAUACAGAACGAGGAAGCUUACUAUACUCCUACUGGCUUUGACAUAUACACAUGAUUCAUCUUCAUUUCGUACGAAUCCAAACUCUUUGACUUUCUCAUCGAAGCAAAGAUUCCAUUUACAAGACGUUUGCUUAAGUCCAUAAAUGGACUUCUCAAGCUUACACACUCUAUUCGGAUGCUUCGGAUCGACAAAACCCUCUGGCUGAGCCAUGUAAACAUCCUCAGCCAACUUCCCAUUAAGGAAAGCGGUUUUGACAUCCAUUUGCCAAAUCUCAUAAUCAUGAAAUGCGGCAAUAGCUAGCAUCACUCUAAUAGAUUUAAUCUUCGCAACUGGUGAGAAGGUCUCAUCAUAGUCAACUCCGGGAGUUUGAGUAAAGCCCUUCGCAACCAAUCGCGCUUUAUAUGUGUGUACGUUUCCAUCCACGUCGGUCUUCUUCUUGAAGAUCCAUUUGCACCCAACGGUCUUACGUCCGGGCACAUAAUCAACCAAAUUCCAAACUUGGUUAUCAUACAUGGAUUGGAUCUCGCUAUCCAUUGCCUCUUUCCAUUUUGCAGACUCCGGGCCUGCCAUGGCUUCCUUAUAGCUAUUAGGUUCAUCAAGAUUUACUAGUGUACCAUCACUAAUAUACGUGUCCCCUUCGGUAGUAAUAUGAAAGCCAUAAAACUGGGGAUGAACUCUAACUCUAUCGGAACGUCUAAGAGGUAAGGAUUCGUCAAUCGGUUCAACCGGAGUUUCCUCCUCGGGUUGAGUGCCAGCGGUAGAGGUUCCUUCAUCUAUCGACUCUUGAAUCUCUUCAAGUUCGAUUUGCCUCCCACUGUCUCCUUGGCUUAUGAGUUCUCGCUCUCGGAAAACUCCUCUCCUCGCAACGAAGACAACAUUGUCCUUCGGUCUAUAGAAGAGAUAUCCAAAGGAUGUCUGCGGGUAGCCGAUGAAAAUACAUCGCUCACUUCGAGGUUCAAGCUUGUCGUGAGUAUCUCGUCUUACGAAAGCCUCGCAACCCCAAACCUUGAUAUGUGCCAACGAGGGAGCUUUCCCUGUCCACAUCUCGUGAGGUGUUUUGGCAACCUUCUUAGUAGGGACUCGGUUAAGGAUAUGGGCGGCAGUCUCUAAGGCAUACCCCCAAAAAGAGAUUGGUAGUGAAGCACGACUCAUCAUAGAGCGAACCAUAUCCAAUAAGGUUCGAUUACGCCUUUCUGCCACACCAUUCAACUGCGGUGUCCUAGGAGGCGUCAAUUGUGAAACUAUUCCACACUCCUUGAGAUAAUCGUGGAAUUCAAGACUUAGGUACUCUCCUCCUCGAUCGGAUCGAAGCAUCUUGAUUUUCCUGCCCAAUUGAUUCUCCACUUCAUUCUUGAACUCUUUGAACUUUUCAAAGGUGUCUGACUUUUGCUUGAUUAAGUAGAUAUACCCAUAUCUACUAUAGUCAUCGGUAAAAGUCACAUAGAAGCGGUUCCCAUCCUUCGUGGUUGAUCUAAACGGUCCACAUACAUCGGUAUGUAUUAGGUCCAAUAGACCCUCGCCCCUUUCACAUGUACUCGUGAAGGGUGACUUAGUCAUCUUUCCAAGCAAACAAGACUCGCAUGUGUCAUCUUCCCUAAGGUCGAAUGACUCCAACACUCCAUCCUUUUGGAGUUGGGCUAUGCGUUUCUUGUUGACAUGUCCAAGACGACAAUGCCACAAGGAUGCUUUAUCCAUACUAGUGGAAGAAUCAAUAUUCAAAACAUCAUUUCCUAAGUUAUCAACAAUCAUAACGGUUUCAUAUAUUCCAUUACAUGGUAUAGCUUCAAAGUAAAAGACACCAUUUAGAUAAGCCAAAAUAGAACCAUUCUCAUUAUUAAAAGAAAAUCUAAAUCCUUGUCUAUAUAAACCAUGAAAUGAAAUGAUGUUUCUUGCCAUUUCUGGCGAAUAGCAACAAUUGUUCAAAUCUAAAACUAAACUAUUCCUAAGCACUAAGGAAUACACUCCAAUCUUGGUCACAGGCGACGAUCUUCUGUUCCCCAUGAUUAGAUUGAUCCUUCCUUGCUCCACAUCCCUACUUCUUCUUAGUCCCUGCACAUUAGAACAAAUGUGAUAACCACAACCGGUAUCAAGAACCCAAGAAAUAGCAUGAUUAGAAUCGUUAGAUUUGAUUGUAUAUAUACCUGCGAAAGAUGGCUUGAUCUUUCCUUCUUUGAUUGCUUGCAGGUAAUCUGGGCAGCUUCUCUUCCAAUGUCCUAUCUUGUGGCAGUGGUGGCACUCUGCCUCCUUCGGGUUAGAGCAGGGCUUAGCGGGAUCAACUUUGGUCCCACUAGAAGAGGCACCAUCUCGGGCUUUCACCUUGCGAUAGUUCUUCGAUGAAGCUUUCCUCUUCUUUCCCUUCCCUUGUCCAAUAGCCAAGACAGGAGCAGCGGGCGGAUUGGGAGUAGGUGCAACAGACUUGUCUUUGAAGUUGCUCUCAGCAACCCUCAAGAGACCUUGGAGCUUGCUUAGGGUGACCUCUUCUUUGUUCAUGUGGUAGGUCAUCCUAAAUUGAUUGUACAUCGGAGGCAAAGAGUGAAGCACCAUGUCGAUCGCCAAAUCCUCACCGAAGUCAACAUUUAACUUGCGAAGGCGGUCGACAUACCUUUGCAUCUUUUGCAAGUGCACGGUAAGAGAUUCUCCAUGACCCAUCUUCGCGGAAAUCAUGUUAGUGAAAAUCUCGUACCUCUCUUGUCUCGCGUUUUGGUGGUACCUCUCCAAUAAGUCUUGAUGCAUCUCGUACGGGUACAUGUCCUCGUAGGACUUUUGGAAUUCGGAGUUCAUGGUGGCGAUCAUGAUGCAAUGUACCUUCGUUGCAUCUCGCUCAUGAGUCUCAAAAGCGGUGAUUUCGGCGGGAGUAGCGAUUUCGGGGUUGAUUUUCUCGAGCUUCUCAUCGAGGACAUACUCCUUAUCCUCAUAGCGAGCAAUGGUGCGAAUGUAUCUUAUCCAUUCGCUAAAGUUCGUUCCAUCGAAGGUGACCUUUUGGCAAAGGCUCAUCAACGUGAAAGAACUAGCAGCAGCGUUGUUUGCGUUCGACAUCUACAAUUAGAAAAGGACAAAGAUAGAUUAGAAUAAGAAUCCCUAAUUAUCACCCAAUAAGAAAAUUAGGGCUAGGAUCCAACAAUAACAUUUACAUACUAGAAAAGGGAUGCCGUAAUCUAACAUGCAAAUAAAUUGAAGGUAAGUGAAUGACGAUUCACUAAUUCUCCAUCACAAAACUUAAACUAUUAGUCCUAAGUGUUUUUGAGAAUUCCUAGGUUCGGAUGAGAUUCAUUGAAACUAUUCAAUGGCAUGUUUAAAUCUCGAUAUGCCCCUCUUGUUUGUGACUGGGAUGCCGAGGAUCACAAAGCGGGUGUGAAUUACCAUGCAAAUUCACAUGGUGCCUUCAUUGUAACGAUCACCUAUUCGAUGUGCCGGUAAACCACACACGCUCCAUCGAACUAUGAUAAACAAUGAAUCACCCUUUGCCACCUUCGCUUAGAACCAAUUAGUGUGCCGGUAAACCACACACGCUCCACUAACAUCUUAGCAAGGUGCAAAGUGUAAUUUCAUGGGAUUGCAUCAAUUCACUUUUCCUAAAGUAACUAGGAUUGGGAAAUUUUAAAAUAUGUGUAGUUACUUUGUAUUUCUUAUUAUACUUUUAAUGAGAGGAUGAGGUUGCCCUAUCCUACCCGUUCGGCUAACGACCCUCCACCAAUCAAGCAAGCGGUGGGUGUGAGUGUACACCCAUUAAGCGCCAUUUUAUAGGCCGCAACCUUAUACCCACCUUAUAGAUCGGCUUCGUGAAUGAGGCCUACUAACGGUAAGACUAGCAUUUAGUUAUACAUAUAUAUAUUAUUCUAGUAAUAUCAUAUUAGUAUAGGGUUGUAUUUUAAAACUUUUAAAAUCUAGGGUUUGAAAUUUAAGUUGUCUAAAUUAAAACUUUUAAUCACAAAAGUAAAUUUCAAAACAUGAGGGUAGGUUUUAAACAUUUAAAACAUGGAGGAUCAAAUAACAAAUAAUUCCAAUUAACAAUUAAUAUCCUAAUUAUCUAUAUUUGAUUUAUUCAAGAUUUCUUUUUAAGAUAAUUACCAAAAUAAUUAAAAUAAUUAAUUAAUUAUCAUAUAAGGAAAUUAAAUAUUUAAUUAGUUGAUAAUUACCUUUAACUAGAUCAAGAUAAUAGUUAUAUUUAUCAGAAAAACGAAUUAAUGUUGAUCUAAUUAGUUUAUGGUAAGUUAAGAUAAGAUAAACACAAAGAAAUCCCGAAUCUGGCCAUUCCUGACGCCUGGACUCGCCGAGUGCACAAAUGGACUCGCCGAGUCAGGCCUACUCGCCGAGUCCACUUUGAGACUCGCCGAGUCCAUGACUCAGAAACCAAAAAAUCGAAUUUUGCAGGUUUGUUUCAGUUAAUCAAGCAACAAUUUAAAGAAAACCAAGCUAGGCUCUGAUACCACUGAUGGGUUUUAGCCAUAAGAACUUUCCUAUGUGCGCAUGCAAAACCCUAAUGCUUGGAUCUAGGCUUUCUAAUAAACAUGCAUUGAAUCCAAGUCUUCUAAUGACUAAUUAGGUUAAAUAACAACAUUGAAACAGAUCUAGAAUCAUACCUUUGAGUUCCUUGUUGAUCUUGAGGUCUUGGAGCUUCUAGAGUCACAAGUGUCACUCCUCUAAUGGCUUACAAACACCAAUAGCAAUAAGAAUGAUUUAGGAGAGAGGAGAGGGGAGGAAUUCGACCAGAGUUCUCUUGCUUUUUCAGAAGUGUCGAAUUCCCUAUGCCAUGGGGUCUAUUUAUACUUGUAGACUCCUUAAGGAUUACAGAUAAGUCCCUAUCAGAUAAUCUUCUCUUAAGGCUAUCCAAAUCCAUUCCUAGAUAACUCUAAUGGACGAUUUUAGCUAUCCUAAUCCUCUUAGAAUUCGUCCAUAGCAUAUCCAAAUGGAUUUACAGUCUAAAGCUUAACUAUCAAACAAUUGACAGUUUAUACCCCUUUAUUUAAUUAAUCUCUUUAAGUCACCAAAUUAAUUCUAAUUAAUUCUAUGACUUAUAUUAAUCAAAUAACAAAUAUAUUAUUCAUUAUAUUAUUCUCAUAAUAUAUUAAUAAUAUUUACUCUCUCUUAAUAAAUCAUCCUAUCAAGUUGCUAUGGUGAAGGCAACCCAAAAGGACCAUGCACAACCGGAUCAAAUACUUGCCUAAUAUAGUUACAGCCUUAGACACUAUUCCAACAGUCUCCCACUUGGAUAAGUCUAGUAACUAUACAAGUACAAUUCGGUUUGCAAUCGUAGCUCUCAAAGACGCUGUCAACUCUGAUCUAAUCAAUCUUGUCCUUUAGAUAAGGGAACGUACAGUCCUCUGUUAGAUAUCAUGCUGACAAUCCUAUGGAAUGGUUAGUCAAGCAUUUAGGUUUCUCGAUCUCUGAUUUAUUUGACAUAGAACUUAAUCGAACACAUCAAUUCAGUUCUGACCGGGCCCGGCACAUAAGUCAAAUCAAAUCAUCGAGCGGCCGAGAUAUCGCUUUUACCUUCUUAGAUAAAAGUUACAGAUAAACUUCGACUUAUAUGCAUUUACUUAUUCAUUAACCAACUAUACACAACAAUACGUUUUAUAACACCAAGUUACUGAUGCGUUUUCGUAUUAUCAAUGUACAAUCAAUUAACAAAUAAUAAACCAUAUAUCUAGGUUUUAAGACUAUAUGAUAUUAUCGUCUUGCGAUCACCUUUUAUAUCGUAUUCCAUAAGGUGAUUCCAGCAAGCGCGGGUUUAUUCCAAUGCUCAAAACUAGUUCAUAAGCACUCAUGAACGUUGCAGCAAUCCUUUGCUAUGUCUAACACCAUUUAGACAUUCUACACACCAAUUCAUGACAAUCUUCAUUCAUAUCUACUCCCAACAUAUGAACGAUUGUGGACCAUUUGAACAAUUCGAUUAUUCCUAAUAAACUCAAUUAUUCUGGAAGUCAAAACAUGCAAAGUGAAACAAUAGCUAAACAAUUAACAUAAGAUAGUAACAUUACUCAUAAAUAAAACUCCUUUAUUUAAUCAUCAAAUGUUAAUUACAUUUAUCUAUUACACGUUUCUAAUACUAUCUAAUCUAUGCUAAUAUCAUCCUUCAGCCCAAUACUCCUAGCAUGCUGCAAGUGCUUAACCCUACUCAGUCCCUUCGUAAGCGGAUCUGCUGGGUUAUCUUCUGAUGAUAUCCUCUUCACUACGAGUUGUCCUUCUUCUACACGAUGUCUAAUGAAGUGAUAUUUUCUGUCGAUAUGUCUUGAUCUACCAUGAUCCCUCGGUUCCUUGGUCAAGGCAACCGCUCCUUCGUUAUCACAGAAAAUCUCCAUGGGCUCCUUUAUGGCAGGUACAACUCCAAGAUCACCGAUGAAGUUCUUUAGCCAUAUUGCCUCCUUCGACGCUUCGCUCGCUGCAAUGUACUCUGAUUCGCACGUUGAAUCAGCUACGGUUUCCUGCUUGGAACUCUUCCAUGUCACUGCUCCUCCAUUUAGGGUAAAGACCCAGCCCGACUGCGAACGGUAGUUGUCCCUGUCGGUCUGAAAACUGGCGUCACUAUACCCUCGCACCUUCAAGUCAUCACUCCCUCCGAGGACUAAGAACCAUUCCUUCGUCCUCCGAAGGUACUUAAGGAUAUUCUUCACCGCAAUCCAAUGUGCUUUGCCAGGAUUCCCUUGAUAUCUGCUAACCAUGCUCAAAGCGAAGGCUACAUCAGGGCGAGUACAAGUCAUAGCGUACAUGAUUGAGCCAACUGCGGAAGCGUAUGGUACUCGGCUCAUUUCUGCUAUCUCAGCUUCGGUACUCGGACUUUGAGUCUUACUCAAUUUGGCAUUACUUUGUAUCGGUAGUUCUCCCUUCUUUGAGUUUUCCAUACUAAAACGUUUUAGUACCUUCUCUAAGUAAGUAUUCUGACUAAGUCCAAUUAGUCUCUUACUUCUUUCUCUUACUAUCCUUAUUCCCAAAAUGUAAGAAGCCUCUCCGAGGUCCUUCAUAGCGAAGCACUUCCCGAGCCAGGACUUAACCUCCUGCAGAGUCGGGAUGUCGUUUCCUAUGAGUAAUAUGUCAUCGACAUAUAGAACGAGGAAGCUUACUAUACUCCCACUGGCUUUGACAUAUACACAAGAUUCGUCUUCGCUUCGUACAAAUCCAAACUCUUUGACUUUCUCAUCGAAGCAAAGAUUCCAUCUGCGAGACGCUUGCUUAAGUCCAUAAAUGGACUUCUCAAGCUUACACACUCUAUCCGGAUGCUUCGGAUCCACAAACCCCUCUGGCUGAGCCAUGUAAACAUCCUCAGCCAACUUUCCGUUAAGGAAAGCGGUCUUGACAUCCAUUUGCCAAAUCUCAUAAUCAUGAAAUGCGGCAAUUGCUAGCAUCACUCUAAUAGAUUUAAUCUUCGCAACUGGUGAGAAGGUCUCAUCAUAGUCAACUCC
This 7662-nucleotide long non-coding RNA is filed under the name Lactuca sativa (garden lettuce). Its description in RNAcentral is "long non-coding RNA (LSAT_LNC006782)". Lineage: Eukaryota; Viridiplantae; Streptophyta; Magnoliopsida; Asterales; Asteraceae. The record is from RNAcentral.